This 1227-nucleotide unclassified non-coding RNA is filed under the name Agrilus planipennis (emerald ash borer). Its description in RNAcentral is "uncharacterized LOC108736383, transcript variant X4". The record is from RNAcentral. Lineage: Eukaryota; Metazoa; Arthropoda; Insecta; Coleoptera; Buprestidae.
UGUACAGGAAAAAUUUAAUUUCAAAGAAAAAAAAAUACAAAAAUUUUUAAAAAUUUUGAAAUUUGUCAUCUACAAUCUUUCAUACUAACGAACCAAUGAAUAAACUAGACCAUGAUUAUAAAAUUUAUUCGCCUUCUCUAAAUCAUGAUAAAAAGCAGUAGAACAUCUGCUUAUCGUUACCAUUAUCUACCGAACUUGCGCUGUCGAUAAAUAGCUUUAGAAUGUCUCAGAAACAUUUACAGAGUGUAAUUAAAAAUGAAUUGUGCGAAAAGAGUUACAAGUUAUAAAAUGAAAACCGAAUGACGAAUGCAGUAUUUACGGAAAUUUACAACCCAAAAAAUUGGAUAAAAUGUGCUUUCAACUGCAGAAAACACACCAAAACAAAAGAACGAUUUUGGCAAUCCAGGAAAACAAACAAGAAAAAGAAAGAAGUCCAUCAAGGUGUGGUAAAUAUCCUUAUAUUUAGAUUAUCCAUCACAAGUAAUCCUUAAUAGGUAAAAAGCAAUUUUUGAUCUCCCAGCACGAUAUUCGUAACACAAAGUAAUCUUGCUCUUAACCGUAAUAUUUUAUAUUAUUUUAUACUAUUAUUGAACGAAGUUGCGUCUCAUUCGACAAAGCAAACGUCGAUGGAAUCUGAGCCCGGCUUAGGAGAUUUUAAACCGAAGGCGAAACGAUAACAAUACUUUCGUUCACGAAGCUUGAUUAAACAGUGUGAUCAUAAGCCGAAUAAAACCGAAAGAAAAAAUGUGUUGUAACAUCAAUUUCUUUUAAUUUUUUUUUUGAAAUGGUACUAGUGCUCUCCUGAGUUUAUGACAUAUGAUAGUACAUGAUAAAAUGGAUAAACCUUUUGUGUAUUUUUAAAUUAUGCAUCUUUUCCAUGUUUUUGAAAAUUGUUCUAAAAAGUACUAAUAAAACUUUCUAAGGCUAUAAUUUGAAAACGCUUUUAUCUUCCUUGAACUAAAUGUGCGAUAUAAAAUAAAAUUUUUGAUUCUGAGAAAAUCAGCUGUGACAGACCGAUAGACGCAUGAGUAGUCUUCUAAAGAUUCCGAUUUUCAAAAACAGAAAAAAUGGAAUAUUUAUAAAAAAUAACUACAAAAUAAAUACCCAUUUAUAUAAGAAAUUACCCAAUGACAGCAAAAUCUAUUAAUUGCUGUUAACAAAUAAUCAAUUUAUUAAGUCUAAUUAUAAUUGUAUAUUUAAAUAAAAACAUCUAGUUGUUAAAAUACA